AUUGAACGCUGGCGGCAUGCUUUACACAUGCAAGUCGAACGGCAGCGCGGGCUUCGGCCUGGCGGCGAGUGGCGAACGGGUGAGUAAUGCAUCGGAACGUGCCCAGUAGUGGGGGAUAGCCCGGCGAAAGCCGGAUUAAUACCGCAUACGACCUGAGGGUGAAAGCGGGGGACCGAAAGGCCUCGCGCUAUUGGAGCGGCCGAUGUCGGAUUAGCUAGUUGGUGGGGUAAAGGCUUACCAAGGCGACGAUCCGUAGCUGGUCUGAGAGGACGACCAGCCACACUAGGACUGAGACACGGCCCCGACUCCUACGGGAGGCAGCAGUGGGGAAUUUUGGACAAUGGGGGCAACCCUGAUCCAGCCAUGCCGCGUGCGGGAAGAAGGCCUUCGGGUUGUAAACCGCUUUUGUUCGGGAAGAAAUCCUCUGGGCUAAUACCCCGGGGGGAUGACGGUACCGGAAGAAUAAGCACCGGCUAACUACGUG
This 484-nucleotide ribosomal RNA is filed under the name uncultured bacterium. RNAcentral describes it as "partial 16S ribosomal RNA". It matches the Rfam family "Bacterial small subunit ribosomal RNA", at positions 28 to 507 of the family's 1533-position model. The record is from RNAcentral.